This is a long non-coding RNA of Micropterus dolomieu (smallmouth bass), 534 nucleotides long. RefSeq lists it as uncharacterized. The transcript is spliced from 3 exons. Lineage: Eukaryota; Metazoa; Chordata; Actinopteri; Centrarchiformes; Centrarchidae. The record is from RefSeq and is a predicted model, not a curated record.
AGUGCCAAGGAAAUUGGAGACAGAGAAGGAGUUAUUUAACAGCAGUUACGAAGCUGCGGUAGGAACAGAAGAAUUGCAUAGUUCAGCAGUGUCGUCUUUUUCCCAUUUUCCUAUUGAGCCUGUUAUUUUCCUCUUUGAGUGCACCUGCGCAGCCCUGAAACCUUUCCCCCACGUAUCACUCCAGUGGCUCCUCAGAAUAAGGAGCGAGAUGAGGGGUCUAUUUUUACCAACGAGGGGGUGAGAAAGUGAGACGGAAGUAUGGUCCUGCUAGGCGCUCUGUCAGGACUGAGCCUGAGGUUCCAGCGAUGUGAUCUGUGGCUCCGCCCACCAUCGUCCUCACUCUCGGUGGUGUCUUGCCGCGCUACCCUCGGGCGCUUACGUCUCCGCGAGCUGAUUCGCUGGAGAGAACCUGGCUCCUGAAGUCUGAACCAUUCAUGUUAAAGGCAGAAGUGGAAUGCGUUUUGUUCCUGCUCCACUGCUACCUGCCUCCUGCACACCUGUGACUCAUGCCACUAAUAAAGACUCUGCAUUACA